AUUGAACGCUGGCGGCAUGCCUUACACAUGCAAGUCGAACGGCAGCGCGGGGCAACCUGGCGGCGAGUGGCGAACGGGUGAGUAAUAUAUCGGAACGUACCCUGGAGUGGGGGAUAACGUAGCGAAAGUUACGCUAAUACCGCAUACGAUCUAAGGAUGAAAGUGGGGGAUCGCAAGACCUCAUGCUCCUGGAGCGGCCGAUAUCUGAUUAGCUAGUUGGUAGGGUAAAAGCCUACCAAGGCAUCGAUCAGUAGCUGGUCUGAGAGGACGACCAGCCACACUGGAACUGAGACACGGUCCAGACUCCUACGGGAGGCAGCAGUGGGGAAUUUUGGACAAUGGGCGCAAGCCUGAUCCAGCAAUGCCGCGUGAGUGAAGAAGGCCUUCGGGUUGUAAAGCUCUUUUGUCAGGGAAGAAACGGGUUUUUCUAAUACAGAGAUCUAAUGACGGUACCUGAAGAAUAAGCACCGGCUAACUACGUGCCAGCAGCCGCGGUAAUACGUAGGGUGCAAGCGUUAAUCGGAAUUACUGGGCGUAAAGCGUGCGCAGGCGGUUUUGUAAGACUGUCGUGAAAUCCCCGGGCUCAACCUGGGAACUGCAUUCAAAACUGACUGACUAGAGUAUGGUAGAGGGUGGUGGAAUUUCCUGU
Molecule: ribosomal RNA, 649 nt
Filed under: uncultured Burkholderia sp.
Lineage: Bacteria; Pseudomonadati; Pseudomonadota; Betaproteobacteria; Burkholderiales; Burkholderiaceae
Description: bacterial SSU rRNA
Rfam family: Bacterial small subunit ribosomal RNA
Source: RNAcentral